GCACGACUCUCGGCAACGGAUAUCUCGGCCCUGGCCACGAUGAAGAACGUAGCGAAAUGCGAUACUUAGUGUGAAUUGCAGAAUCCCGUGAGUCAUCCAGUCUUUGAAUGCAAGUUGCGCCCGAGGCUUCGAAUGAGGGCACGUCUGCCUGGGUGUCGCAC
This 161-nucleotide ribosomal RNA is filed under the name Cycas pectinata. RNAcentral's name for it is "5.8S rRNA". It matches the Rfam family "5.8S ribosomal RNA". Rfam says of the family: 5.8S ribosomal RNA (5.8S rRNA) is a component of the large subunit of the eukaryotic ribosome. Lineage: Eukaryota; Viridiplantae; Streptophyta; Cycadopsida; Cycadales; Cycadaceae. The record is from RNAcentral.